CCCUUAGAUGUUCUGGGCCGCACGCGCGCUACACUGAUGCAUUCAACAAGCCUAGCCUUGACCGAGAGGUCCGGGUAAUCUUUGAAACUGCAUCGUGAUGGGGCUAGAUUAUUGCAAUUAUUAAUCUUCAACGAGGAAUGCCUAGUAAGCGUGAUUCAUCAAAUCGCGUUGAUUACGUCCCUGCUCUUUGUACACACCGCCCGUCGCUCCUACCGAUUGAAUGUGUUGGUGAGGAGCUCGGAUUGGCAGCAGUUGGUGGUUCGCCACCGGCUAUUGCUGAGAAGUCCUCCAAACCGCCCCAUUUAGAGGAAGGAGAAGUCGUAACA
RNAcentral lists this ribosomal RNA (326 nucleotides) under uncultured eukaryote. RNAcentral describes it as "partial 18S ribosomal RNA". It matches the Rfam family "Eukaryotic small subunit ribosomal RNA", at positions 1470 to 1796 of the family's 1831-position model. The record is from RNAcentral.